RNAcentral lists this ribosomal RNA (491 nucleotides) under uncultured bacterium. RNAcentral describes it as "partial 16S ribosomal RNA". It matches the Rfam family "Bacterial small subunit ribosomal RNA", at positions 28 to 507 of the family's 1533-position model. The record is from RNAcentral.
GAUGAACGCUGGCUACAGGCUUAACACAUGCAAGUCGAGGGGAAACGACGGGGAAGCUUGCUUCCCCGGGCGUCGACCGGCGCACGGGGGAGUAACGCGUAUCCAACCUGCCUCUGACUGAGGGAUAACCCGUCGAAAGUCGGCCUAAUACCUCAUGGCAUCGUCUGCGGGCAUCCAACGACGAUUAAAGAUUUCAUCGGUCAGGGAUGGGGAUGCGUCUGAUUAGCUAGUUGGCGGGGUAACGGCCCACCAAGGCUACGAUCAGUAGGAGUUCUGAGAGGAAGGUCCCCCACAUUGGAACUGAGACACGGUCCAAACUCCUACGGGAGGCAGCAGUGAGGAAUAUUGGUCAAUGGGCGGGAGCCUGAACCAGCCAAGUAGCGUGCAGGAUGACGGCCCUAUGGGUUGUAAACUGCUUUUAUGCGGGGAUAAAGUGAGGGACGUGUCCUUCAUUGCAGGUACCGCAUGAAUAAGGACCGGCUAAUUCCGUG